AGUGGGGAAUAUUGAACAAUGGAGGAAACUCUGAUGCAGCGACGCCGCGUGAGCGAAGAAGGCUUUCGAGUCGUAAAGCUCUGUCCUAAGAGAAGAAGAAGUGACGGUAACUUAGGAGGAAGCCCCGGCUAACUACGUGCCAGCAGCCGCGGUAAUACGUAGGGGGCUAGCGUUGUCCGGAAUUACUGGGCGUAAAGGGUGAGUAGGUGGUCAUUAAAGUCAGAUGUAAAAGGCAAUGGCUCAACCAUUGUAAGCAUUUGAAACUUAAUGACUUGAGUGCAGGAGAGGUAAAUGGAAUUCCUAGUGUAGCGGUGAAAUGCGUAGAUAUUAGGAAGAACACCAGUGGCGAAGGCGAUUUACUGGACUGUAACUGACACUGAGUCACGAAAGCGUGGGGAGCGAACAGGAUUAGAUACCCUGGUAGUCCACGCUGUAAACGAUGAGUGCUAGGUGUCGGCAAGAGAUUGUCGGUGCCGCAGUUAACGCAUUAAGCACUCCGCCUGGGGUGUACGAUCACAAGAUUG
This 524-nucleotide ribosomal RNA is filed under the name uncultured bacterium. RNAcentral describes it as "bacterial SSU rRNA". It matches the Rfam family "Bacterial small subunit ribosomal RNA", at positions 353 to 896 of the family's 1533-position model. The record is from RNAcentral.